GAGGGUUUAGCUCAGUGGUAGCGUGCAUACCUAGAAUGCAUGAGAUCCUGAGUUCAAUCCCCAGUACCUCCA
RNAcentral lists this transfer RNA (72 nucleotides) under Camelus bactrianus (Bactrian camel). It matches the Rfam family "tRNA". From Rfam's summary of the family: Transfer RNA (tRNA) molecules are approximately 80 nucleotides in length. Their secondary structure includes four short double-helical elements and three loops (D, anti-codon, and T loops). Further hydrogen bonds mediate the characteristic L-shaped molecular structure. tRNAs have two regions of fundamental functional importance: the anti-codon, which is responsible for specific mRNA codon recognition, and the 3' end, to which the tRNAs corresponding amino acid is attached (by aminoacyl-tRNA synthetases). tRNAs cope with the degeneracy of the genetic code in two manners: having more than one tRNA (with a specific anti-codon) for a particular amino acid; and 'wobble' base-pairing, i.e. permitting non-standard base-pairing at the 3rd anti-codon position. Lineage: Eukaryota; Metazoa; Chordata; Mammalia; Artiodactyla; Camelidae. RNAcentral also lists the same sequence under 2 other names. The record is from Rfam by way of RNAcentral.